This 422-nucleotide ribosomal RNA is filed under the name uncultured soil bacterium. RNAcentral's name for it is "bacterial SSU rRNA". It matches the Rfam family "Bacterial small subunit ribosomal RNA", at positions 26 to 443 of the family's 1533-position model. The record is from RNAcentral.
AGGACGAACGCUGGCGGCGUGCUUAACACAUGCAAGUCGAACGGUGAAGGAGAGCUUGCUCUCCGGAUCAGUGGCGAACGGGUGAGUAACACGUGAGUAACCUGCCCUUGACUCUGGGAUAAGCGUUGGAAACGACGUCUAAUACCGGAUACGAGCUUCAGCCGCAUGGCUAGGAGCUGGAAAGAAUUUCGGUCAAGGAUGGACUCGCGGCCUAUCAGCUAGUUGGUGAGGUAAUGGCUCACCAAGGCGACGACGGUAGCCGGCCUGAGAGGGUGACCGGCCACGACGUGGGACUGAGACACGGCCCAGACUCCUACGGGAGCAGCAGUGGGAAUAUGCACAAUGGGACGCAAGCCUAGAUGCAGCGAACCGCCGCGGUGGGGGAACGAAGGCCGUUCGGUUAGUAAACCUCGUUUAAGUAA